This is a long non-coding RNA of Spodoptera frugiperda (fall armyworm), 509 nucleotides long. RefSeq lists it as uncharacterized. The record is from RefSeq and is a predicted model, not a curated record. Lineage: Eukaryota; Metazoa; Arthropoda; Insecta; Lepidoptera; Noctuidae. The transcript is spliced from 3 exons.
AUUUAGUAAAGGAUUUAAUUGAGAGAUACAACGUUUCAAAGUUUGGAGUUUUCAAGCAACUAAGAUGAAGAGUGUCACAUUGGUUGUAUUGCUAGCAGUUACCCUUGGGUAUGCAGCUGUAGACGGUGACGACCUUCUUGAAGCUCCUUCUACCGGACCAGAAGGAAUAAGUACUCGUAAUGGAAUCUUAUCCAUAGGAGACGAUAAUGGUAGAUUGUUUUCUAGCACGACCCACCAAGUACUUUCAUCGCCGAAUGUAUUACACAAACAAGAAGUUUUAAUACGGUUGGUUGAAUACGCCAACAUUACUGGGAUUCGGGCAAAUCCUUCAAGCACGUUAGGAGUAGUCACCCUUAUAGACGGUGGACUGGGACACAAUUACGUCAAACUAGGUUUUAAUUCUCAAAAGAAUUUAGGUUAUUUAUAUAGGAUUUUGGUAUACGGUUCACUGGUUUGUGACGAUUAAAAUAAGCUAUUUUAUCGAUAAAUAAAAGCCUGUCAAACAUGAA